CUAGGCGACCUUAAUGAAAUACAAUUCUUGCACAAGAAAGAAGACGUCAAUCCACGUCCAUAUCAUCAUAUGCAAGCCUUCCAUAGCGCUAUCGAUGAUUACGAGUUGCACCACUUGGGGUUUACUAGGGACCCCUUCACAUGGCAUAGAGGGAUUAGAGAGAGGUUUGAUAGGGGACUUGGUAAUGAUACAUGGAUGACACCCUUCCCCAAUGCGGCGUUGGAAAAUAUGGAGUAUAACAAUUCUGAUCAUCGGCCCUUGUGUCUAAAUACUGAAUAUUAUUAUCAACCCAAAGUGCCAAACAAUAGACAAAAAACAUGUUUGAGGCAUGGUGGUUAA
RNAcentral lists this ribosomal RNA (339 nucleotides) under Triticum aestivum (bread wheat). RNAcentral describes it as "partial small subunit ribosomal RNA". The record is from RNAcentral. Lineage: Eukaryota; Viridiplantae; Streptophyta; Magnoliopsida; Poales; Poaceae.